GGGAAUCAGUUAGCUUCCCUUUACCACCAAUUCCUUUUGUUUCUUUCUUCAGUUUCCGUAGAGCCGUCCCAACUCGCUUCUGGACAUGACCGACACAUUCCUUCUUUUCCACAUGUAUAUUUUCAUAAGCAUUUUCCACUUCAUUGUAUGCUUUGCUGUCACCAUCUCCAAAGUACUCGGUAUAUUGCAGCUUACGUGUCUCCUCGCUCCUUCCAAAUAUCCUCUUGAUCCCUUCUGUUUCCAUAGAUGGCGCUGAUCCUUGAUAGCUUGCCUUGCACUGAUGUCUAUCCUGCAUAUCAGCUUUCUUUAAAGCAUCUGUUUGUUUGUCAAUCCUUUGACACUCACGGCAAACUUUUGUCAUUAUUUCAACGUCUAAACAUUUACCGGUGUC
Molecule: non-coding RNA, 391 nt
Organism: Paramuricea clavata
Lineage: Eukaryota; Metazoa; Cnidaria; Anthozoa; Malacalcyonacea; Plexauridae
Source: the annotation of a GenBank genome assembly